This 1028-nucleotide ribosomal RNA is filed under the name human gut metagenome. RNAcentral's name for it is "bacterial SSU rRNA". It matches the Rfam family "Bacterial small subunit ribosomal RNA", at positions 43 to 1054 of the family's 1533-position model. The record is from RNAcentral.
AACGCUUUACACAUGCAAGUCGAACGGUAACGCGGAGAGAAGCUUGCUUCUCUCCGGCGACGAGUGGCGAACGGGUGAGUAAUACAUCGGAACGUGUCCGCUCGUGGGGGACAACCAGCCGAAAGGUUGGCUAAUACCGCAUGAGUUCUACGGAAGAAAGAGGGGGACCCGCAAGGGCCUCUCGCGAGCGGAGCGGCCGAUGACUGAUUAGCCGGUUGGUGAGGUAACGGCUCACCAAAGCAACGAUCAGUAGCUGGUCUGAGAGGACGACCAGCCACACUGGGACUGAGACACGGCCCAGACUCCUACGGGAGGCAGCAGUGGGGAAUUUUGGACAAUGGGCGCAAGCCUGAUCCAGCUAUUCCGCGUGUGGGAUGAAGGCCCUCGGGUUGUAAACCACUUUUGUAGAGAACGAAAAGACACCUUCGAAUAAAGGGUGUUGCUGACGGUACUCUAAGAAUAAGCACCGGCUAACUACGUGCCAGCAGCCGCGGUAAUACGUAGGGUGCGAGCGUUAAUCGGAAUUACUGGGCGUAAAGGGUGCGCAGGCGGUUGAGUAAGACAGAUGUGAAAUCCCCGAGCUUAACUCGGGAAUGGCAUAUGUGACUGCUCGACUAGAGUGUGUCAGAGGGAGGUGGAAUUCCACGUGUAGCAGUGAAAUGCGUAGAUAUGUGGAAGAACACCGAUGGCGAAGGCAGCCUCCUGGGACAUAACUGACGCUCAGGCACGAAAGCGUGGGGAGCAAACAGGAUUAGAUACCCUGGUAGUCCACGCCCUAAACGAUGUUAACUAGUUGUUGGGAAGUAAAAUUCUCAGUAACGCAGCCAACGCGAGAAGUUAACCGCCUGGGAAGUACGGUCGCAAGACUAAAACUCAAAGGAAUUGACGGGGACCCGCACAAGCGGUGGAUGAUGUGGAUUAAUUCGAUGCAACGCGAAAAACCUUACCUACCCUUGACAUGUCAGGAAGCUCUUGUAAUGAGAGCGUGCCCGCAAGGGAGCCUGAACACAGGUGCUGCAUGGCUGUCG